This 1501-nucleotide long non-coding RNA is filed under the name Marmota monax (woodchuck). Lineage: Eukaryota; Metazoa; Chordata; Mammalia; Rodentia; Sciuridae. The record is from RNAcentral.
GUUUUCCCCAUCACUGAUGGCUGCAGCCGUGCAAGAUCAGUGUCACCCUUUCUUGUCCAUCUCCCACUUUUAGACUUUGAGGUCAGCUCCACAGGUCUUUACUGGAAAAUUUGGGGCCAAUGUUGAACCUCUUUGGCCUCUAACCUUGUAAGACAGAAUGAUAAUGCCUAUUUGUAAUACUGUUAUAGUAUUCAAAAUGUGAACAUAUAGAAAGUCCUUAACACAGCAGCUGAGGGAUUCUAGCAUCCUCAUCGUCGUCAUCAGCAACAGCAGUAGCAGUAUUAAUACUGCUAAUGGUAAUUGCACUACUAUUUUCACAGAAGGUAAAGGAUGCUGGGUGCCACCUGGUUAAUGGCCAUUAGAGCCAAAAAAUUACGAAUCAGAACAACACUCAUUAGAACUACUAGGAUUCAUUUCUGCUUGUCUCAAGUUUUUUCAUUCUCAUGCUGAGAAUUUGACCUGUUAAAAUUUUUUGGAGCAACCUUUAAUCACCCAUAACAGUUAUCACCACUACUUUAGCCUCCUGAACCCUCUAAAAAUGAGAAAAUUAGUUUCUUUGUGGAGAAAUGACAUGGGUCCACAGUUCCUUCCCCACUGUCCCCUUAUGGAGACUCACAGAAAACAGCAAAUGGAGAUAGGACCAUCUCGCCCUGGGCUCUCAUGCACAAAAGGUCUGAGCUGACCUAGCGCUGUGUGAUCCAUCUGGCUAGCAGGCCCCACCUGCCCACAGUCCUCUCACCAGCUGACCACGCCCACCACAUGCUGACAUGAAUGACAGACGGUAUGCAAAGAAUUUCCCACAAUCCUCCACUUUUCGCUGCAACUUUGUAAGGAGUUAUUAGCUAUCCCAUUGUUCAGUUGAAAGAACCAGGCUUUGAAAGCCAGCUUUGAAGAAAACCUUCACAGUUAGUCUAACCAACCCCUUUCUUUUUCAGAUGAGGACGCUAAAAGGUUAAGUGUCUUACUCAAAAUCACAGUGACGCGAUGACAACAAGGAGACAGGCACUUGACAUAUGUACUGUCAUUUUUUUUUUCUCACAAUCUUACCAAGAAGGACACACUGCUGGGUUUCUGUUCGUGACUAAAAGGCUCAGGGGUCACUCCGGUUGAACUGGGCUAACUGGGCUGCGCAAAAUAACCACACAAGAGACACAAGUACCUUUAUCUUUGGGGUCACUGUGACGGCUCCUCUGACCUUAAGGGUCCACAGGAAGAGAGAGAGCAAGAGCACGCGCUGACCUCUUUUACUGAGGAGAAGCUAUUCAGAUGAGGCAAGUGGUCAGGUUUCAGGGGGCUGAGUCUAUCUUCAUGAUGUCCACUGUCAGCAGGUUGACUGACAUCUAGGUAGGCCACACCCAAGGGCACAGUAAGAGAAGGGGACACACCAAGGCACUUCCAUGGAAGAUUCUAUCCUAAACAGGGCAAGGGGUUAUAUUACAAAAGAACAGGUGAGCAUAGCUCCACCCAUGGGACUGUAGCAAGACACAUCCAUGCACGAGAC